CCAUGUAGGAAUACCCAAAUCAGUAAAAAAUUCUGGAAUACAUUCAUCUGGAGACCAUUCUUGCAUACGUUGUAUACUAGAAGGAUACUCUUCAGGAACAAAUUUUGUUCUAAUAUAACGACAAAGAACCGACCGAGGAGUUAUUCGGGAUCGAUAAACAUAAUUAUGUGAGAAAAUUAUUGCGAAAGGUGCUGAAAAAUUUAUGAAAAGAGUGAAAACAUUGAAUUGAAAGCAGCGACAGCCGCUGUCGUUGGUGAAAUAUUAAAAAUUAAAUUUAAGCAAAACAAAAAAGAGAAAAGAAUUUGGGUACGUCAGUGAAUUCAAAGAAAAAAUGAACUUGAUGUUUCUCAAACUUUGUUAAGAGAACUUGUCUCAGAAGACCCAAAAAGUUUACUCUCACAAAAAUACUAUCAAUUAUCAAGUCUCUCUUCAUAGUGUGAUAGUGACUAUCAUGAUGUUUACACGUUGAAAGCACGAUUUAAGAUAGAGAGGUUGUUCCAGAUGAAAAAAGUUGUUAAUAACGAUAUGAUAUUUACCUACCGGAGUGAAAUGCAAUAUAAAAAUCACAGCGUGUUGGACGGAUUCCUACUGAACGCGGAAAAAUUUGGCAUUGCGGUGUGCGUCACAAAUAUGUAGCCGUUCAACUCGUGGUGCGCUAUGAUGCAUUAACGAAAUAACAUACAUACAUUGAACGAACAAAAAAGCGCACGAGUGUAAGCAUACGUAUAUAUAUGUUUCACGUUUUUGUGAAAUAUUGCAUGCUUUAAACACUAAACAGUCGUAAAUUGUAGAUUUAUCAGUGUUAUAAUUUAAUUAUGAGCUAUACAAUUUUCUUGUCAUAAAUUGUAACUGUUGAGAUAUCGUAGUAUUAUAAUAGUGAAAUCAAAAAAAUUUCAACUAUGAUAGUAUCCAUGAAUUCUUAUUUCUUAUCUUAACAUCUUUUAAAGUUUAGUGCUUACGGGAAACUGAAGGGGAUAUCCCCCUCCCCAUAAUUACGCCACUGAGAUAAAUAAAUUGUAUUUAAUCAACACUGUUAUGGAUAAAUGUAAAUUUUUACAAAAUUAUAUAUAAGUUUAUUGAUUGAAAAAUGAUAAACAGCAUAUUAUAAAACAGGACACAAGCUGCAGUGUUUAUUUCAGGCCUUUUAACCCAGAGGGGAGGUAUCGUACAUUUUUUUUAGGGGUAUGUGUUAUGCAAUAUGAGUAAAUAAUUAAUAAAUAAAUGCUUUUUUUUUCAGAGGUAAAUCCCUUUCCUUUCUGGUCACUCCCCUUAAAUAAACACUGCACAAGGUGGACCAUUUUAUCUAUGUAAGAAAAUGUAACAAAAAAUGGACCACCUUAUAUAACUGUAAAGUAAAUACAUGUACAUAUUAUAUAAUGUAAAUAAACUAUUAUAAAAUUAUAUAAAUAAGUUAUAUUAA
Molecule: long non-coding RNA, 1420 nt
Organism: Sipha flava (yellow sugarcane aphid)
Lineage: Eukaryota; Metazoa; Arthropoda; Insecta; Hemiptera; Aphididae
Exons: 4
Source: RefSeq, a predicted model, not a curated record